RNAcentral lists this ribosomal RNA (497 nucleotides) under uncultured bacterium. Its description in RNAcentral is "partial 16S ribosomal RNA". It matches the Rfam family "Bacterial small subunit ribosomal RNA", at positions 28 to 507 of the family's 1533-position model. The record is from RNAcentral.
GAUGAACGCUGGCGGCGUGCCUAAUACAUGCAAGUCGAACGAAAGUACGAGAACCCCGCUUUUCUGCUGUUACCGAUGAAGGGUUGAGUAACAACUGGUUAACCAACCUAUAAGAACCCGACACCUACGAGGAACUGAACCCAAUAAAGCAGGAUAUUUUACACCUCAAGUUUCAAAAACGCAUUACGGUUUUUUCAUAACUGAUAAUUCUAUCCCCGCUGCAUUGGCUAGUUGGUAGGGUAACGGCUUACCAAGGCAACGAUGCGUAGCCGACCUGAGAGGUUGAUCGGCCACACUGGAACUGAGACACGGUCCAGACUCCUACGGGAGGCAGCAGUAGGGAAUCUUCCGCAAUGGGCGAAAGCCUGACGGAGCAACGCCGCGUGAGUGAUGAAGGUCUUCGGAUCGUAAAACUCUGUUGUUAGAGAAGAACGUAUGUGUAAGUAACUGUGCACAUCUGGACGGUACCUAAUCAGAAAGCCACGGCUAACUACGUG